RNAcentral lists this ribosomal RNA (253 nucleotides) under uncultured bacterium. Its description in RNAcentral is "partial 16S ribosomal RNA". It matches the Rfam family "Bacterial small subunit ribosomal RNA", at positions 524 to 776 of the family's 1533-position model. The record is from RNAcentral.
UACGGAGGGUGCAAGCGUUGUCCGGAUUUAUUGGGUUUAAAGGGUGCGUAGGUGGUUUUCUAAGUCUGGUUUGAAAGCUGGUGGCUUAACCAUCAGAUGUGGCUGGAAACUGGAGGACUUGAAUGCGUUGGCGGUAGCCGGAACGGGUCAUGUAGCGGUGAAAUGCAUAGAUAUGACCCAGAACACCGAUUGCGAAGGCGGGCUACUACGACGUGAUUGACACUGAGGCACGAGAGCAUGGGUAGCGAACAGG